Lontra canadensis (Northern American river otter) is the source of this 506-nucleotide long non-coding RNA. RefSeq lists it as uncharacterized. The transcript is spliced from 4 exons. The record is from RefSeq and is a predicted model, not a curated record. NCBI's taxonomy places the organism in Eukaryota, Metazoa, Chordata, Mammalia, Carnivora, Mustelidae.
CCAGGGUCCCCCAGUCCUUUGUGCCUGGUAUUUGGUGACGAUGGCCCUGGUAAGCAGGGUAUCUCCAUGGACCACUUGCCUCCCUGCCCUCUUCCCCCUCCCGGGAAGCCCAUGUCCCCCCAAGGGGCCAGGUUUAUGACACAGUGUCUUCUCUAAGUGUUCUGGAGGUGGGAGGAGCCCUUCUCCCCUCCCCCCAUCAGUGGUCUCCCCUCCAAGGCUCCCCGACUGCCAGCAGAGCGCCCCCCAGUUCUGCUCUCUCCUCCUGAGUUUAGACCUGGGAGAGCAACAGCGCAUUGUCCUGUUGGCCCCUGGCCCUAGGCGGGUGCUGGCUGCGUGUGGCCCCGGUGCAGCUGCCCUGGGCGUGGGGCAUUGUCCAUCUUCCACAGACGGCUCCGUUUUUUCAGGCAGAGGCCCUGUCCUCCUUGGGAUCCUGCGCCAUCAGGAUGGGGGCGUUUGUCCUCCUGACACCGGUGCUGGAAGCCACUCUGACCACAGCAUCCGGCAGA